Long non-coding RNA from Raphanus sativus (radish), 292 nucleotides. RefSeq lists it as uncharacterized. The transcript has 2 exons. NCBI's taxonomy places the organism in Eukaryota, Viridiplantae, Streptophyta, Magnoliopsida, Brassicales, Brassicaceae. The record is from RefSeq and is a predicted model, not a curated record.
GUGAGUGAUUUGGUUCUCUUUGUUGAAAAUAGUUUUAAUACCCAAAACUUCUCUAUGAUACCUGCAAACCAAAAGAAGCUAAUGACAUGAGGUGGUCGUAAUUUCGGUACCCAGAACUCUCCAUCAAGAUCGGAUGUGCUGUCUCUUAUAGGUCAACAAACAGGGUCUGCUAUGUGAAUCAGAUGGCAACAUGGGCAUUAUCAUAUGUGAAGUUAGAGUUGCUCAUGGUUUCAUCAUAAAUACUCAUGUCAUAAACUGAGCUUUCUUUCAAGAGAUGUUUGAAGGUGUUAAA